UGGUGUAAAGCUGUAUGCUAGCUAGCAUUC
RNAcentral lists this non-coding RNA (30 nucleotides) under Rattus norvegicus (Norway rat). The record is from RNAcentral. Lineage: Eukaryota; Metazoa; Chordata; Mammalia; Rodentia; Muridae.